RNAcentral lists this ribosomal RNA (430 nucleotides) under bacterium. Its description in RNAcentral is "partial 16S ribosomal RNA". It matches the Rfam family "Bacterial small subunit ribosomal RNA", at positions 355 to 776 of the family's 1533-position model. The record is from RNAcentral. RNAcentral also lists the same sequence under 1 other name.
UGGGGAAUAUUGGACAAUGGGCGCAAGCCUGAUCCAGCCAUGCCGCGUGUGUGAAGAAGGCCUUUUGGUUGUAAAGCACUUUAAGCGAGGAGGAGGCUACUUGGAUUAAUACUCUAAGAUAGUGGACGUUACUCGCAGAAUAAGCACCGGCUAACUCUGUGCCAGCAGCCGCGGUAAUACAGAGGGUGCGAGCGUUAAUCGGAUUUACUGGGCGUAAAGCGUGCGUAGGCGGCUUCUUAAGUCGGAUGUGAAAUCCCUGAGCUUAACUUAGGAAUUGCAUUCGAUACUGGGAAGCUAGAGUAUAGGAGAGGAUGGUAGAAUUCCAGGUGUAGCGGUGAAAUGCGUAGAGAUCUGGAGGAAUACCGAUGGCGAAGGCAGCCAUCUGGCCUAAUACUGACGCUGAGGUACGAAAGCAUGGGGAGCAAACAGG